AAUUGUUUUUUAAACUCCUUCUAUUUUUUCCUUACAUAUACAAAUAAACAAUGGUAAUGAAAGAUUUCUUUUUCGAAAUCACACUGAAUAAAUAUUUGAAACCAGUGUGAAAACCAUGAAGGGACAUUGUACAUUGGCUAAAAGUGUACAUUUAGCCUGUUUUGUGGAUUCACGUUUUUGUAUCAACACAGGAUAAUAAAUGAAAUCACUUGGGAAAUUAAGUUAGCUGAAGUAUCUAAAUUACUUGUAUGUAUGAAUGUGAGAGUAAAUGGUUGUCUGUCACUAAACACGUGAACUGUAAUCGACCAGUGAGCUGUUGAUAUAGUUUACUGCUGCCUCUGGUUCUUUGUGAUCCUCUUUAUGGACCCCAGAGGAGAAGCAGCAUACAUUAAGGAUAAAUGUAUUCAUUUACACAUUCUAAUUUUAUUUCAUGUUGAUGUUGUUAACCUGAAUUUAUUUAAAUUACAUAACCACCUCAAAGGGGUUUCCAAUCAACACAACAUACAUUUUCUAAUCUGAGCUCAUUCUGCAGGUUUUCUCAUUAUCUCUCACUUUACUCUAUUUAAAUUAAUUUGAUUUAAAGUCAUAGCACAAUGUACAGCAAAAAGACCGUCUGCAAAGCAACGGAAAGACAAUAAUAUGAAUCUGACCAAGAGAGUUUGACUAAGGUGAGCGUUUGAAGUGGUUUGCAUCAUGGAUUUAUGCCAAAAAAAAAGUUCUGAUAGAAGAGUGAGAACUAAUGAGUAAAGAGCAGCAGAAAAGUAUAUUUAGGGUGGUGCAGGAGAUAAGGUGUGACGUGAAAUGGUCUACUGUGUUGACCCCCAAAGGAGCAGCUAAAAUAGCAAGCACAAAGGCCAGACAGAGGCUAGUGAUAAAAUAAAACAAAGAUAUGUUUUUGUGGACGGCUACUGGUACUAUUUGUGACUCCCUUCUCCAGCAAUUGCUUUGAGAGAACCAAAACCAUCUUGGUCAACAGAGUAGUUGUCUUCAAGACCUACUUUUAAUGUUGACCUAGUUGACCUGGUAUCUACCCCCCCAUCGAUUUGAACCAGCCCCCAUCACACUAACACUAUGCAAUUCUUGAAACCUUUGUAAACAUUUCCUGGAUAAGCUUUUCUGAUGUUUGAACCAGUUACACCAUUUUCUUCUCCUCACCCUUCCCCCCAGAGCAGGGCAUUAGCUCCUAAUGUGCUCGUUUUCCCCGUGAUCCAAAAUGACUUUACUACCACUUUUCUGCAGCCCCCGAACCCAAGGAGAAAUUAGCCGCGUGAACUGAGUACUUUUUUAUGUAGGUUGGGAGUCAGGGAUUCUCAAUGCCGAACGGACACCAGCUGAAUGGAUGUUAUUUACAGCAGACAGAGCUGAUGUGUUAAUGAUGAGCGCAAUAAAACACUCAUCUGGGCUAUUGCAGAUCACAAAACAGCUUAGUGCCACCUGCUAUAUUAAAGCUGUUAGUUUAAACCGACAGUGCUGUGUCUGGGUCCGCAUUAUACUCCGUUUUCUUUAUUUAAUUUUUUUUUUUUCAACCUGACAAGCAGUACCAGGGAUAAGAGGAAUCGUUUACAGAUAUACUGCUUUAAGUUUCAGUCUAAGGCGAUGUAGCGAGCCACAUGUUGUAUAUCAACACUCCUUACUCUCACUGGACUUUUCUUCUAGCCGUUCCACAGUCUCAUUAGUUACAGUCGAGGAAUACUUGCAAGACACAUUCUGAUUAAUAUGUAUUGACUGUAUGAAGUCUGAUCCCGUGUCUGAUCCUUUGUUAAUUUUAAACCAUUGUGCUCUGUGUAAAGCCAUCCAUCAAAAACUCUCCGUUGAGAUAUUUUGCAGGCGCGCUGAUCCUCUAAAGUACUGCUGACAGCUGCAAUUGUACCUCUGUGUUUCCAACGAGCCGGAGUUGAAGAUAAGCUGUCUAAAUCCUGUCCAAACCUAACUGUCACAGAACGUCCAACGCUGUCAACGUCUCUCAAAAGGCAUUACACACACUGCACAGAGUAAGACCAAGACAAAACACAUAAAACAAUUUAAUACUAGCACAUUUUCUCUGUUUUUUUGUUUUGUUUAUCUGUUUCAUCCUUAAAACACCAAUUAAACAGAAACACCAGUGGUUCUUCUAACGGCUGUACCAUUAAAAUGAGACACAAUCUGAUUAAACAUGAAUACAUGUACGUCAUGACACUUAAGAUCCAAGAUUCCACUUAAGUGGAAUCGGAAAUUAAGUGGAAAAUAUUUGACACGUUGACACCAAGCUGUAAGGUCAAAGGUUAUAUUCAACUGACCAAUGAUAUGUUAAAGUAAGUAUAAUGAUAGUGUCCCAUCACCCGGUCUUAAAUUGGUACCGGGCACUAGGUGAUUUGCUAUUGUGUUGGAGGAAGAAUUAAUUACAUAUUAUUUUCAUUUCACUGAUUUGAAUUGGAAACUUGUCUAAAGAUCACAGACCUGAGAACAAAUGCUUCGUUCUCAGUCUUUCUGCAUGUUCAACUAGUGUUUAUGGGAGAUUUCUCCAGGUUCCCUGCUUUCCUCCCACAGUCCAGAGGUCAUAGGUCAUUUGGACACUCUAGUUGACCAGAGGUACGAUUGUUGUCUCCAUAUUUGUUCCUGCAAAUUGACUAGUGAACUGUCCAAGGUCCACUCCUUCCUCCGUUAGCUGCUGUUGUUGCCAGCAAACUAAAAAAAUAUUAUAGUAUCGCUGUCAAAGAUAAGCAGAAAAAAAGAUUAAAAAUAAACAGCUUUGGAGAGCUUAAUCAAAGAAGGGACACGGCCUGCAUCACUAACUUAAAAAGAAAAGCUAAACAGAAGCUGCUCAAAAAGUCUUUCUUAAAGUAGGCAAUAAUUAUGAGUUGUAAUUUCCACCUGUCAAACUCAUUCUGCGUGAUAUGUGACUUUCAGCAUAACUGCGCAUCAUAUUUUUUGCACAAGUCCAGUCUUUUACCCAAAUCUGCCCCAUGAUGCACCUCAGCUCUAAAGACACCAGAGAUAUUUUCUGAAAUCCAUCUUACUUCUCAAAGUUGGUCGAUCCGUGGAGAAAAGUUUUCCCAUGUGAAACCAGCAGUAACCGUCAGAUCCCUGCGCCCAGGUCUCAACACUGCAGGUCCGUCAUGUGGCUGCAUGUGUUCGUCUGUCAUCUGCCCCCUCACACACUCCCCGUGGUGAGAGAGCCACAAACAUAAACACACUAAAAGCCUUGCAAGCAAAACAAAAGAACACAAAUAUUAAAUAAAACCCAGCCGCCAUUAAACAGUGGAGGACCUCCAUCCUUUUAGAGCCAUUCUUUUGAUGACUUUGAUGUGCCUGUGGUCCCACCGACACAUUACUAAUCUCCCCUGUAAUUCAGCAGCAGACCAUCGCCCUGCUAAUGGGAACAUGGGUUGUUUUGGCCGAGCUGGUCAGCAGACCCCUCUGAUCCACGCACUAGCUUCUGUUUCUGUGUGAUCUCAGCACCUCACAUGGACAUAACGCUUUAUAUCAUUUUCUAAUGUGACACAAGGGGGCGUAAAUCUUCCAAAUUGGAUUUUGAUUGGACUUAAAACCACAACAGUCCUGACAGCAGAGCGGUGGUCGACCUCCAGCUGAACUCUGCUGAGGUUCAUUUAAAACACAAAUGAUGAGAGUUUAUAUAAUCAUGUUAUCAACAGUUAACAGAUAUUUACAUCUUCAUGUCAGGGCGGGGUUUGGUGUUGGAGGAAUACUACAAAAAUAUAUUUGCAUUUUUUUCAAUAUAAAUAAUGUGAGAUUUAACUUCACCCCAAAAUAAAUAAUUCUCUCAGGGAAUUUGUUUUUCAGUUUUCAGUCCAAAAAAAACUGUCAAAAUUAUAGUUUGUUUAAAAUCAGUUCUCUUCUGUUUGUUUUUAAAUCUGACAAUUGUCAAAACAAUUUUUCCUUCUCUUGUUUUCUUAUUGAUAUAUUAC
Molecule: long non-coding RNA, 3905 nt
Organism: Cynoglossus semilaevis (tongue sole)
Lineage: Eukaryota; Metazoa; Chordata; Actinopteri; Pleuronectiformes; Cynoglossidae
Exons: 3
Source: RefSeq, a predicted model, not a curated record